UCAAGUGACUAAGUGCAUGUGGCGGAUGCCUUGGCGAUCACAGGCGAAGAAAGACGCGGCAGCCUGCGAAAAGCUGCGGGGAGCUGGCAAACGAGCUUUGAUCCGCAGAUAUCUGAAUGGGGGAACCCACACCGCAAGGUGUAUCCGUAGCUGAAUACAUAGGUUACGGAGGCGAACGAGGAGAACUGAAACAUCUAAGUAUCCUCAGGAAAAGAAAUCAACCGAGAUUCCGGCAGUAGCGGCGAGCGAACCCGGAGGAGCCCAGCUUUUGAUAGUACGAACUUUAGCCGAAAGGUCCUGGAAAGGCCUGCUAUAGUGGGUGAUAGCCCCGUAGGCGAAAGAGUUGGUACGGUACUAAGGAAGCGAGAAGUAGAGCGGGACACGUGGAAUCCUGUUCGAAGACGGGGGGACCAUCCUCCAAGGCUAAAUACUCGUGAUCGACCGAUAGUGAACCAGUACCGUGAGGGAAAGGCGAAAAGAACCCCGGGAGGGGAGUGAAAUAGAACCUGAAACCGCAUGCAUACAAACAGUAGGAGCCUCAUCAGAGGUGACUGCGUACCUUUUGCAUAAUGGGUCAGCGACUUACAUUCUGUGGCGAGCUUAACCGAAUAGGGGAGGCGCAGCGAAAGCGAGUUCGAAAUGAGCGUCCAGUCGCAGGGUGUAGACCCGAAACCAGAUGAGCUAUCCAUGGCCAGGUUGAAGGUGUGGUAACACACACUGGAGGACCGAACCGACUAGUGUUGCAAAAUUAGCGGAUGAGCUGUGGAUAGGGGUGAAAGGCCAAACAAAUCUGGAGAUAGCUGGUUCUCCCCGAAAACUAUUGAGGUAGUGCCUCGUGUGUCGCUCCAGGGGGUAGAGCACUGUUUUGGCUAGGGGGACAUGGAGUCUUACCAAACCAAGGCAAACUCCGAAUACCUGGAAGCGUGAGCACGGGAGACAGAGCACCGGGUGCUAACGUCCGGACUCAAAAGGGAAACAACCCAGACCGCCGGCUAAGGUCCCAAAUAACAGCUAAGUGGAAAACGAAGUGGAAAGGCCGUGACAACCAGGAAGUUGGCUUAGAAGCAGCCAUCCUUCAAAGAAAGCGUAAUAGCUCACUGGUCGAGUCCUUCUGCGCGGAAGAUGUAACGGGGCUAAGCUGUUAACCGAAGCCGCGGAUGCACUGGUUAUCCAGUGCGUGGUAGGGGAGCGUUCUGUAAGUCUGCGAAGGCGGUUCGAGAGGACUGCUGGAGAUAUCAGAAGUGCGAAUGCUGACAUGAGUAACGUUAAAGCAGGUGAAAAGCCUGCUCGCCGUAAGCCCAAGGAUUCCUGCUCUACGUUCAUCGGAGCAGGGUGAGUCGGCUCCUAAGGUCAGGCCGAAAGGCGUAGCCGAUGGGAAUCAGGUUAAUAUUCCUGAACCUGCGUCAGAUGCGAUGGGGGGACGGAGCAUGGAAGAUCAUCCGGGUGUUGGAAGUCCCGGUUGUUUAGCGUAGGAGGUCUGCAGGCAAAUCCGCAGACGCAUCUCCAAGGCAAAGACACGUGCCGCCACGGCGGCGAAGUGAUCGGAAGUGCUUCCAAGAAAAGCCUCUAAGCCCCAGUCUGACGCGGACCGUACCGCAAACCGACACUGGUGGGCGAGCUGAAUAUGCUCAGGCGCUUGAGAGAACUCGGGAGAAGGAACUCGGCAAAUUGACACCGUAACUUCGGAAGAAGGUGUGCCGUAGUACCGUGAGAGGAGAGACACCUUGAGCGGGAAACGGUCUCAGAGAAUAGGUGGCUGCGACUGUUUAUUAAAAACACAGCACUCUGCAAAGUCGAAAGACGACGUAUAGGGUGUGAUGCCUGCCCGGUGCUGGAAGAUUAAUUGAUGGGGUGAGAGCCCUUGAUCGAAGUCCCAGUAAACGGCGGCCGUAACUAUAACGGUCCUAAGGUAGCGAAAUUCCUUGUC
RNAcentral lists this ribosomal RNA (1927 nucleotides) under metagenome. RNAcentral describes it as "bacterial LSU rRNA". It matches the Rfam family "Bacterial large subunit ribosomal RNA", at positions 3 to 1973 of the family's 2925-position model. The record is from RNAcentral.